GCUGGCUCAGCAGUAUUUUAUUUUAUUUUAUUCUAUUCUAUUUUAUUUUAUUUUAUUUUAUUUUUAUUUUAUUUUUAGUCCACAGACUUAUUUAAUCUACCUUCAAGUCCUGCCUCCAAGUCAUUUAUGAAAACAUCAAAGUGAACUAUCCCUAAAAUGGAGACCUGCAGAACCCCAGUAGCGUCUGGCCACUAGCCUGGUGUAACCCCAUCAUUACCAUUAUCAUUAGGGCUGUGACUUUUUCCACACUGUUGGGAGAAAAAAGAUACACAACUGUAGAAAAGAGUGAAAAGGAAAGCAACAGACCUAUUCUAGCAGGCAACCUAGUCUUUUUUUAUACUUUCUUUUUAAUUUUUUUUGAAUCAUAUAGCCUCAAUGUGAAUGUGAAGGUGACCAUAUAGCUUUUAUCUCACCUCAUACCCUGGUGUGCCUUAAACCAAAUGGUGCUGAUGAAGAGGCAGACAGGAGUCACCCGAUCUGCAGGUGCCACCAGGAAAGACACAGGUGAAACACACAUUGAAGCUUGUAAGCCUCCACUGUUCAAUUCACUCAUGGCCAUUACCAUCUCUAAGCAUAGGUGAUGUGCCCGCUGUUGUUUGUGUGCUGGGAAACUGGGAAAGUGUUAUUCUAAGGUGAGACACAAAGAGCUACUAAUGUACAAACACCCUUUGUACUGAAAAGUAAAACCCACUCAUUUCACUUAACCUGGAUCUAGCCCUUACUACAUCUGGGUUCAGCUCCAGCCUCAAUCACUUAAAUGUAGUUGUGUCUACAAAAUAGGUCUCUAGUCAACUACCCAAACUUAGGUAUCUACAGUGAUUUGAGGUACCCAGGGGUUUUCCAGGCAUCUACAGAAGAGGGGCAAAUACAAGACCUCUCAGGGAUGCAUGUUCUUCUGGAGUGGCAAGAAAAGAUUUGGCACAGUUUCUCAAAUACUACUAGCAGUCUCCUUCAGCAAGUGAAUCACAUUCUUAAUCAGUACAGUUAAUUACAUAGAAGAUGUGAUUUAUCUGACCAAAUGUAAAUACCUGUUUCAAGAGGCACAUAAUCCAUCUCUUGGAUCAUUUGGUUAUAACAGUUACAAUUGACUAUAAAAGUUAGUUCUUCAGUGGCUUUAGUGAGAGCUUAGACAUGUAGACACCAACAUUAAAACGUCUAAUCUGGAGCUGAAUCCUUCUUCCAGUUCUUGAGGAAUCAGACAGCUCAAGCAUAAUUUGUGUUGUGUUGACAAUUCUUUGUAUCUUUAAUAAUUCAGCAACCUUUGAUGGCUCCUGUAAAGAAU
This 1282-nucleotide long non-coding RNA is filed under the name Anser brachyrhynchus (Pink-footed goose). RNAcentral describes it as "lncRNA (ENSABRG00000002570.1)". Lineage: Eukaryota; Metazoa; Chordata; Aves; Anseriformes; Anatidae. The record is from RNAcentral.